UGUGUGUCGUAGUUAACGCGUUAAACAGGGCGCCUGGGAAGUACGGCCGCAAGGCUAAAACCCAAAGGAAUUGACGGGGACCCGCACAAGCAGUGGAGCGCCUGGUUUAAUUCGAUGGUCAGCGAAGAACCUCACCUAGGCUUGAACUGUAGCUGCACACUCCCAGAAACGGGAGAAUCCUUCGAGGGUGCUACAGAGGUGCUGCAUGGCUGUCGUCAGCUCGUGUCGUGAGAUGUAGGGUUAAGUCCCACAACGAGCGCAACCCCUAUUCAGUGUUAUAAUUACUCUGAAGACUGCCCUGUCCAAACGGGGAGGAAGGAGGGGACGACGUCCAGUCAUCAUGUCCCUUAUGUCUAGGGCUACACAGACGCUACAAUGGCCGGUACAAUGGGUUGCCAAACCGCGAGGUGGAGCCAAUCCCAUCAAAGCCGGUCCCAGUUCGGAUUGCAGUCUGCAACUCGACUGCAUGAAGUUGGAAUUGCUAGUAAUCGCGAAUCAGCACGUCGCGGUGAAUACGUUCUCGGGUCUUGUACACACCGCCCGUCAGGGCACGGGAGUCGCUCUUGCUCGAAGU
Molecule: ribosomal RNA, 574 nt
Filed under: uncultured organism
Description: bacterial SSU rRNA
Rfam family: Bacterial small subunit ribosomal RNA
Source: RNAcentral